UACGGAGGAUCCAAGCGUUAUCCGGAUUUAUUGGGUUUAAAGGGUGCGUAGGCGGUUUUAUAAGUUAGAGGUGAAAUCUCGGGGCUCAACUCCGAAAUUGCCUCUAAUACUGUAGGACUAGAGAGUAGUUGAGGUAGGCGGAAUGUAUGGUGUAGCGGUGAAAUGCUUAGAGAUCAUACAGAACACCGAUUGCGAAGGCAGCUUACCAGACUGUAACUGACGCUGAAGCACGAGAGCGUGGGUAGCAAACAGG
This 253-nucleotide ribosomal RNA is filed under the name uncultured Rikenellaceae bacterium. RNAcentral's name for it is "partial 16S ribosomal RNA". It matches the Rfam family "Bacterial small subunit ribosomal RNA", at positions 524 to 776 of the family's 1533-position model. The record is from RNAcentral. Lineage: Bacteria; Pseudomonadati; Bacteroidota; Bacteroidia; Bacteroidales; Rikenellaceae.